Macaca mulatta (Rhesus monkey) is the source of this 150-nucleotide unclassified non-coding RNA. It matches the Rfam family "Metazoan signal recognition particle RNA". Rfam says of the family: The signal recognition particle (SRP) is a universally conserved ribonucleoprotein. It is involved in the co-translational targeting of proteins to membranes. The record is from Ensembl. NCBI's taxonomy places the organism in Eukaryota, Metazoa, Chordata, Mammalia, Primates, Cercopithecidae.
GCCGGGCGUGGUGGCACGCACCUGUAAUCCCAGCUACUUGGGAGGCUGAGGCAGGAGAAUUGCUUGAACCCAGGAGGCGCGGAGGUGGCAGUGAGCCGAGAUCGAGCCACUGCACUCCUGCCUGGGCGACAGAGCAAGACUCUGUCUUGG